RNAcentral lists this unclassified non-coding RNA (165 nucleotides) under uncultured Venturiaceae. Its description in RNAcentral is "sequence contains ITS1". The record is from RNAcentral. Lineage: Eukaryota; Fungi; Ascomycota; Dothideomycetes; Venturiales; Venturiaceae.
CUGGGACCCAGGUUGGGUGCUUCGGCGCCCGCCCCCACCCUUUGCUUAGCCCCCGAAAUUAAAAAAACCCGUCGGCCUUUGGCGCGCCCGCUUGACAGCGUGGUACGCCGGCCGGACAUCAAACCAUGAACAACAUUGCAGCCUGAAGUUAAAAGCAAAUAAUUA